CUAGUCCUCUGUGGUUGUUUGUGUACAUACAGGACUGAAUUGCAUUCUCGGCGCAGGGAGGCGUAGGAACCACCAGUCUGAACCAGAACUAGCUUUACAGCGAAGCUGCUGCUUGCUAGCAACACAGCUUUGAACAUCGGGGCUGGCGAGAAGAUAAUAGAGAAAACUGGAACGCCAUCACGGAUUUCUUGUGGGACAAACGUACAGGCCUCGCUGCUAAAACGAUGCCUCACACUAGACGGUACUCGUCUUCGGACAGAGACAGUCGAAGCAGCUACCAAGACCGUUACAGAGACAGAGGGCGAAGACACCGGCACAGAAGAUCGCCUUCUUACUCCUCCAGCAGUGACAGAGACAGAGACAGAGACCGAGACCGAGACAGAAGGGGACGGGGACGGGGACAGGAAGGAAGCUUUGUGCACUCAAGGAGUCGUAGCUUUGACAAUCGCUCUACGGAGCACCGGCCAUUUGACCGAAGAUACUGCGAGGGAUACAGGCGCUUGGGUCAGAGCCGAGAUCGAGACCGUGACAGAGAAAGGGUGCCACAUGGAGCAGCUGAAAGUUACUAUCCACGGGAUUUCUCCCCAAACAUGUACGACUACCGACGUGGCCGUGAGAGGGAACGAGACGAAUCGUACCGGCGGAAAGGCAGCAGGCGUAAGCACAAACGAAGGCGGCGUAGAACCAGGUCCUAUAGCCCAUCCUCCUCGCGGAGUGACAGCCGGACGCGGGCACUGAGUGUGAGGGACGACGAGGAAGGGCACCUGAUCUGUCGGAGUGGGGACGUCCUGCAAGAGAGAUAUGAGAUUGUCAGCACUUUGGGAGAAGGCACCUUUGGGAGGGUUAUGCAGUGCAUUGACCAUCGCAGGGGAGGAGCCUCUGUUGCUCUUAAAAUAAUCAAAAAUGUGGAGAAAUACAAGGAGGCAGCUCGCCUGGAGAUAAAUGUUCUAGAAAAGAUCAAUGAAAAGGACCCUGAUAACAAAUUCCUGUGUGUACAGAUGUACGACUGGUUCGACUACCACGGUCACAUGUGCAUCUCCUUUGAGCUGCUGGCGCUCAGCACCUUCGACUUUCUAAAGGAAAACAACUACCUGCCCUACUCAAUUGGUCAUGUCAGACACAUGGCCUACCAGAUCUGUCUCGCUGUGAAGUUCCUACAUGACAAUAAGCUGACGCACACAGACCUGAAGCCUGAAAACAUCCUGUUUGUCAACUCAGAAUUCAUUAUGUCCUUUAAUGUAGUGAAGAAGCGAGAGGAUCGGACGGUUAAGACCACGGCAGUACGUGUGGUGGACUUUGGGAGUGCCACUUUUGACCACGAGCACCACAGCACCAUUGUGUCCACGCGGCAUUACCGUGCUCCUGAGGUCAUACUAGAGCUGGGCUGGAGCCAUCCCUGUGAUGUGUGGAGCAUCGGCUGCAUCCUGUUUGAGUACUACCUGGGCUUCACCUUGUUUCAGACUCAUGACAACAGGGAGCAUUUGGCCAUGAUGGAGAGAAUCCUGGGACCGGUGCCCUCCAGGAUGAUUCGUAAGACGAGGAAGCAGAAGUAUUUCUAUCGUGGCCGCCUGGACUGGGACGAGAGCUCCUCAGCGGGGAAAUACGUCAGAGAAAACUGCAAACCCUUGCGGCGGUACUUGCUGUCGGAGGCGGAGGAGCACCACCAGCUGUUUGACCUCAUAGAAAGCAUGUUGGAGUAUGAGCCCACCAAGAGGCUGGCGCUGGCCGACUCCCUCAAACACCCUUUCUUUGAGAGUGGGGCGAUUGGCGAGGCAGGGAGCAGCAAGAACUGGGAGGGAAACCGGGACAUCAGCCGGUGACCCAUAAGCCUCCAAAGACUAAAUGAUCAAGUCUUUUUUUAUUGUGGAGCAGGUGAACUGUUAAAUUAAUCGGGGCUUCGGAUGUUUCCUGUCGUUAGUCAUUAAAGCAUGGACACCUUAACUUCUUCUUGCUCCUUCAUCCUGCCCCUCUGACGUCCACCUCUGCAGCCACAAGAGGCAUGUUUCUGCAGCAGACCAAACAAAAGACUGGAAAAGAGUUGAAAAGAACGAAAUCUUUUCUAAACAUAGAGGACAACAAUCUUAAAUGGAAUAUUGUUUAUACCCAAAGUAGCCCUCUAUGCAGUUCCUGUCUUCCUUUUGACUUCUGAACUUCCUUCCUCCUUUCCGUCCGUCCGUAUUUUAUUUUCAUCAGCAUGUAAACAAAAUAAUUCACCUUUUUAUAAUGAAAUAAGCACUACAAAACAGGUUACACAAUAACUCCGCUUUGGAAUAGAAAUGUCUUCCGAUUCUGAAGUCUAAGGAAAGGUUAGAAAGGAGAUGGAGCUGUAUAUGCAGUGCCAAGUCCUUGCACGCAUAACUAAACAUGGAGACGUGUAAUAUAUUCUAUUAUGCUAACAACAAAUCAUUCAAAUUGAAUAUAUAUUUCCAUGGAAAUUGCAAUUAUCUCAAGCAGAGACAAGUGUCUCAAGUUUCUGUUUCUGUUUUUGUUAAGUGAGCUCUUUUUUUCACGUCUAAAAGGAUUAUCCCCGAUAAGGAGACUCUUGCCCUUAAUUUCGGGUCGACAGGUCUGUUAUUAUUUGCCAACGAGAUGAUAAUGGUGAUUGACACUCCACACACACGGGGCGCUGUGGCCUGUCUUAUUGAUGGAUAUAUGUUUGUUACGUUAUACAUUGCUUUAUGUGUGUGUGUGUGUGUGUGUGUGUGUGUGUGUGCGCGUGUGCGUACGUACAUGUGCGCGCAGGGAUGGUGUGGGUGACACGUUCAUACUAAUGUUUUGCUCAGUUACUUCUUGCAUUUGUCAUGGGAACAUUCUUGCAAACUUUUAAACGCAAAAAAACAUAAACUGCCUUUUUUCAUGUGUGAUUUUCUCAGACCUGAAGUCUCCAUUGGGGUUAAGCACACAGGAAGUAGCCAACGAGCCACACACAACUCCUGUUGCUGCUCAGCUGUCACCCUGUCAAGAUAGGGAAACACGGGAGAUCUGCUGCAACAGGUGUGCGGAUGCUUUGUCACGUAAGCGUCCUCAUCUGUGGGUCAUCGCUCAAAUCCCCAUAAGAGCAGACUGUGACGGAGCAGAGGUGUAUACAUGUACAAACUGAAGUACUGGACGCGACGAGAACACUCUACACUCGACAGCUUUGACAAAUGAGCUGAUUGUGGCCACGGGAGAC
Molecule: RNA transcript, 3172 nt
Organism: Cottoperca gobio
Lineage: Eukaryota; Metazoa; Chordata; Actinopteri; Perciformes; Bovichtidae
Gene: clk2a
Gene name: CDC-like kinase 2a
Exons: 15
Source: RefSeq, a predicted model, not a curated record